Triticum aestivum (bread wheat) is the source of this 893-nucleotide long non-coding RNA. RefSeq lists it as uncharacterized. NCBI's taxonomy places the organism in Eukaryota, Viridiplantae, Streptophyta, Magnoliopsida, Poales, Poaceae. The transcript has 3 exons. The record is from RefSeq and is a predicted model, not a curated record.
AUUAAGUCAGGUGACUUUACAGUGGCUGACACGUGGGCCGUCACAUCCGCAUCCCCACCCUCUCUUCUCUGUCUUCCUCUUCCAGGGUCGGCCGGCUGGACCCUCGCCGUGGCCUCCUCCGUCGCGGCCUCGAUCGAAACCGAAAAAGAUCGGCCAGUACCAACAAAGUGGAAGGACAAGGCCGUCGUCACUGUCGUGUUUUGCGGCUCGUCGUUGUUCACGGAUUCGAGGUCUCAUGCUUCGAUUUGGUUUCUGACAUGAGGAACCGAAGAACCGAGAUUGCUGCAUGUGUCUGAACAUUUCAAGUGGAUUGGUAAAUAUGGAGCUGUAUUGGCAUCUUCACCAGCAAACAAUGGGAGAAACUACGCGACCUACUAAAUGCACGCCAACAUACAGCUGAAAACAGAUUCCAUUCUUCCUGUGGCGCUAGUGCUUGCCUGGCAAUCAGGAGCUGCAGACAGAUUGUGGAUCAUACACAUGCUUAAUCUGCACAAAGUUCUGCUUCAAGUACAUCAUCAGGCAUUACUGCAAGAACUACUCAGCUGGUUUGAAGAAACGGAUGCCUACAUUACAGGAUUUUCGGCGAUGCGCUUUCAGUGAGAGGAGACGUUCCCGUCGACGACGAGGCGCCUACGGUGACUUCGUAAAUCUCAAGAUGAUAUGCCGGCUCAGUCUCUCAGAGGUGCUCAUAGGGGUAGGGUGUGCGUGUGUGCGUUCAUAGGGAUGAGUAUAUGCACGUGUAUAUGAGCGCUUGUGUUUGUACUGAUGCUAAAAAAACAACCAAAGGUCGGUACCAGACGUGGCAAAUCGUGUCCGUGGGUAGGGAAAUUGAUGAGGUGUGCAGUGAUCCAGGACCCUGCCUUUUAUUAAUUUUUAUUUAUAAUGUUACUUCA